GACGAACGCUGGCGGCGUGCUUAACACAUGCAAGUCGAACGGUAAGGCCCUUCGGGGUACACGAGUGGCGAACGGGUGAGUAACACGUGGUGAUCUGCCCUGCACUUCGGGAUAAACCUGGGAAACUGGGUCUAAUACCGGGUAGGACCAUGGACUUCACGGUUUUGUGGUGGAAAGCUUUUGCGGUGUGGGAUGGGCCCGCGGCCUAUCAGCUUGUUGGUGGGGUAAUGGCCUACAAGGCGACGACGGGUAGCCGGCCUGAGAGGGUGUCCGGCCACACUGGGACUGAGAUACGGCCCAGACUCCUACGGGAGGCAGCAGUGGGGAAUAUUGCACAAUGGGCGCAAGCCUGAUGCAGCGACGCCGCGUGAGGGAUGACGGCCUUCGGGUUGUAACCGUCUUUCAAUAGGGACGAAGCGCAAGUGACGGUACCUAUAGAAGAAGCACCGGCCAACUACGUGCCAGCAGCCGCGGUAAU
RNAcentral lists this ribosomal RNA (478 nucleotides) under uncultured bacterium. RNAcentral's name for it is "bacterial SSU rRNA". It matches the Rfam family "Bacterial small subunit ribosomal RNA", at positions 28 to 524 of the family's 1533-position model. The record is from RNAcentral.